AUAUAUAUAGUAGGUAUGUAUGUGCAAGUCGGCCACAUUUGAAAGGUAAAAUGACUGGUUUGGACACUGGAGUGAAAUCCCAUACCACAAUAUACAGGCGGGGACCAGGAGCCGGCAUCCCUUCACUGCCCUGUACGGUGUGCUCUUCAAUGUGCCUAUUGCUAUCAAUGUGCAGGUGGGUGGGUGUAUUCCCAGGUGGAGGAGCUCUUCACCGUGCAGGUGGGUGGGUGUAUCCCCCAGGUGGAGGAGCUCUUCACCGUGCAGGUGGGUGGGUGUAUCCCCCAGGUGGAGGAGCUCUUCACCGUGCAGGUGGGUGGGUGUAUCCCCCAGGUGGAGGAGCUCUUCACCGUGCAGGUGGGUGGGUGUAUUCCCUAGGUGGAGGAGCUCUUCACCGUGCAGGUGGGUGGGUGUAUCCCCCAGGUGGAGGAGCUCUUCACCGUGCAGGUGGGUGGGUGUAUCCCCCAGGUGGAGGAGCUCUUCACCGUGCAGGUGGGUGGGUGUAUCCCCCAGGUGGAGGAGCUCUUCACCGUGCAGGUGGGUGGGUGUAUCCCCCAGGUGGAGGAGCUCUUCACCGUGCAGGUGGGUGGGUGUAUCCCCCAGGUGGAGGAGCUCUUCACCGUGCAGGUGGGUGGGUGUAUCCCCCAGGCGAUGUUCUACACUACCCUCCCGUUGCAAGUAUAACAGUGUUCUCUAGCGUAAGUGUAUUUCCAAGCUUCAGGCUGUUAUGACUUUAGUGUCAGUAUUAUGGAACACUUCCUCAGCAACAAUCUGUUAUGCAUAUUACCCAGGAAUGUUCUCCUGCUAAUUUGUUGUAUCGUAAUUAGUUUUUCCGUGAUAAAUUGUGUAGGAAAAGUAUCUUUUUAUGUUCUGCACCUGCUCCUCUUUCAGAAGGCAUUCGUUUGAUAGUUUACUAGUAAGCCCCUAGUUGUGAAAGUAUAUUACGCUAGAUUACUUCAGGAAGAAGUAUUCUUCUAUUUCAAGAAGUGCCGUACAGCAGCCGGCACACGAGUAUAUUACGUACCCUCUGUGGUAUAUUUGCAGGUAUAUUAUGUCAGCUUGAACGUGUUAGACACAAAUAAUCAAGUAGAGUAUAGACUACCACUGGGACUGAAAGCUGCACAACACACAUUAUUGAUGAAUGCGAGAUGUAGAUGAUAUUUUGUUAUCUGUUCACACUAAUUCAUCCAACGGCCAAGAGGCAAUGCAUUAGUGUGUGUGCUUACCAAUACUCUUAACGUGUCUUAAGGGAGACUGGGUGUCACUGACUUCUUUGAGUGUCACUGACUUCUUUGAGUGUCACUGACUUCUUUGAGUGUCACUGACUUCUUUGAGUGUCACUGACUUCUUUGAGUGUCACUGACUUCUUUGAGUGUCACUGACUUCUUUGAGUGUCACUGACUUCUUUGAGUGUCACUGACUUCUUUGAGUGUCACUGACUUCUUUGAGUGUCACUGACUUCUUUGAGUGUCACUGACUUCUUUGAGUGUCACUGACUACUUUGACUUCACUGUUACAGGUAACAACAUGUGAAUGAUUGUACGGCUGUUGUAAAACCUUUGCAACAUGGUGAUGCAAUUUUAAUCUUCUGGUGAUGAUCUGACAAAUGGUGCACGAAGCUUUUGGGGAAAAAAACUAAGCCAAAAGGAUAAUCAAAAUGCUGCAAACAAAAAUAAACAAAAAGAAUAAGUCAGCAAAUCACCUGAGAAGAGGAAAAAUCGAGUCGUUGAUAACUAAGGAAUUUGUGUAUAUAUUUAUGUUAAAAUAAUCUUGGAGAUGCUAUUCUUUCACAGUGUUUUAUAUUGUAAGUAAAUUAUUUUACUAAAUCCCUGUAAAUCUAUUCGGAGAAACUGAAAUAAAUGUUAUGUACGCAA
Molecule: non-coding RNA, 1871 nt
Organism: Procambarus clarkii (red swamp crayfish)
Lineage: Eukaryota; Metazoa; Arthropoda; Malacostraca; Decapoda; Cambaridae
Source: RefSeq, a predicted model, not a curated record